Molecule: non-coding RNA, 763 nt
Organism: Oryctolagus cuniculus (rabbit)
Lineage: Eukaryota; Metazoa; Chordata; Mammalia; Lagomorpha; Leporidae
Source: RefSeq, a predicted model, not a curated record
GCUGGACCUGUGCCUCACUCUCCCCAGCAGGGGGGUCUGAGUGACCCCUUCUCUCCUCUCCUCUGCUCCCUCCCUGCUCUGGGCUGCCACCGCCCAUCUCCGGGGACCAGUCAGUAGCUCCCACCACCCUGGUCCUGUUUUUGCCCAGGGGCUGCCUGCCCCAGUCCCCCCCCCCCCCAGCAGCCCCUCCUCUCCUGGCUCGGGAAGCUCUGUGCCCGCGUCCCCUGCAUCCCGCAUCCCUCUCACCUCUGCUGCUUGGCUGGCAGCCCUGGAACUCGCUGUCCUCAGAAUCCACCAGCCCCUGCACUUCCCCAGGCUUCCCUGCGAAUCCUGGGGGUCUCUGUGUGAUGGGGAGAUCAGCCAGUGCCGAUGAAUGGUUCCUCCAAGGUCUCACCCUGGACCCUGAGCGGAUGACCCAAGGAUUCCUUCCAGCCACAUGCUCUGCUCCCUGAGAGGUACUUAAAACCGUGGGAAAUACGACAGCUCAGGAGUCACGAGGUGCAGUUUUCAAUCCUGGUCCUGUCCUGAGCCAGCUGUGUGAUUUCAGGUUGGCCUCCAACUCCCUCGGGAUCAAUAAAGGGGGGGGGGGGUGGACCAGAAUCUGAGCUCUCAGUUGCCUCCAGCUCCAGCUUCCACUGGGCCUGACCCAUCUCGCUAUCCCUCAAGUUCAACAGUCAGCUCUCAGCAUGUGGCCGCUGGGUGGGGGAGGGGGGCUCCCUCGGGGAUGCCCAGAGCAACUGGGUCACUUGAGUUAGGACAGAGA